GUUUUAAUAAUUUAAUAAAAAUAAUGAUUUUGUAAAUCAUAAAUGAAGAAUAUUCUUAAAACA
RNAcentral lists this transfer RNA (63 nucleotides) under Illinigina sp. EMHAU-15062817. Its description in RNAcentral is "tRNA-Thr". Lineage: Eukaryota; Metazoa; Arthropoda; Insecta; Hemiptera; Cicadellidae. The record is from RNAcentral.